Molecule: non-coding RNA, 126 nt
Organism: Crucibulum laeve
Lineage: Eukaryota; Fungi; Basidiomycota; Agaricomycetes; Agaricales; Nidulariaceae
Source: the annotation of a GenBank genome assembly
GGUGAGAUGGCCGAGCGGUCUAAGGCGCCAGACUAAGGACCAGGGCAGAUUGUGUCCACUUAUUCUCUUCCGUUAGGAUUGGAAAUCUGGUCCUCCGGGGCGUGGGUUCGAAUCCCACUCUCAUCA